CUCAGCGGGCACCACGCCGCAGCCCGGCCCCUUGUAAGCAAGGCCUUCCGUACAGGAUUUUAUUGGCCGACAGCCUGGGCAGAUGCUCAGGACUUAGUCGAACGAUGCGUCGGUUUCCAACUCUUUGCUAACCAAAGCCAUAUGCCACCCACCGCCCUCCAAACUAUACCCAUCACCUGGCCCUUCACGGUCUGGGGGCUUGACAUGGUUGGACCCCUUAAAGGAGGAACCCACAAGCAAAAAUACCUACUGGUCAUGGUGGACAAAUUCACCAAAUGGAUAGAGACCAAGCCUGUUAAGACAGCCGAAUCCGUACCGGUGAUAGACUUCAUAUCAGGGGUCGUACACCGUUACGGCGUCCCCCAC
This 366-nucleotide ribosomal RNA is filed under the name Triticum aestivum (bread wheat). Its description in RNAcentral is "partial small subunit ribosomal RNA". The record is from RNAcentral. Lineage: Eukaryota; Viridiplantae; Streptophyta; Magnoliopsida; Poales; Poaceae.